GGAAAAAAAUGAUUCAUAUACACAAUUCUUUUAGUAAAAGUUUCUACUUCUUGCUAAUAACACAUUUUAAUUUGCCCCAGAAAAUGCAUUAAUUUUCUUCAAAUAUGUUUUUCCUAAAAUAUAAAUAUUUAAAUUAAAUUUUUAUAAAUGUAGAGGAUAUAGUUUCUGUUGGCUCUCACAUGGGUAUCAGUCAGUCCAAAACUUCAGCACUGAGGAAAUAUUUGCAACUGUGAUUAUUUUAAUUUGUCUAUAAAUAUAUAAUAGAAUCUUUGCAACUUAAUCAAGAACGAUUAACUCAUACUUCAUGUAGUACCGAGCACCUUAAAUUACAUAUUGUUGAAUUAAACUAUUGGCAUUAAUAUAUGUAUUUUAAUGUGUUAUUUACAAUAGACAAGUAGAAUUCUCUUGUAUAACAACAUUCCAGAGAUUUUGAAAAUAUAUAAUGAAAGAGUAUAAUUUACAAAUGCUUCAAUGCUUUCCUACAGUAUUUAAGCUGGGAUUUCAUUCUUCAGCAUUGGAAAACAGGAAACAAACACAAAGUCAAUAUCCUCAAGCUGUUUUUUUUAAAGGAUUAUUUUUUUUUAAUAAGGGAUCAAAAAUGAUCAAGAUAAGCUAUAUACAUGUACCAAGUCCCCAAAGCAAAUGUAGCUCUUAUGUAUUGCAAACAUACACUUCAAACGGAACAGAAAAAAUGCUAGCUUCAAAACUGUUCUAGUGGGAAGUAAGGAGUCCUGAAGGUUAACUCAGGGACAGUGCACCAGACACCAGAAGCAUCACAAUGGACGUUAAAGUGUGGAGGAGGCCAGCAACCAUGAAAUCUGGUUAACAUGUUUUUAACUCAGUAUUUAAAUGCAGAUUUUUAUUACCAAACCCCUAUAUGAAUGAUAUUCUGAGAGAUGAUUUAAAAUAAAACUGCAACUCAAUACACAUGCAUGUCUGAGGGAGCAAGUUUGCAUCCCUUAACCAAAUGACUUUUAAACCUCUUUGGACUGGCAUUUGCUAAAAUACAAUGCUUAAAACACAGGUCUACAAUGUACAUUUGUCUGCGUAAACUACAGGGAAAGAGGUGUUAGAAAUGCUUGCAGAAACUCCGGGGCUACCUUCCAAGGUUUGAGAAAAUGACUCUAACAUCAGACAAUGGGUGUUACUUUUAGUGAGUAAAUCAUGAUAGGUAAAAACAGAAGCAUUAAGCUUAUCUGUGAUGUGCUUUCCAUUGUCCCAAAAUAUUUUCUAGAAAAAUAUCAGGUCAUUAUAUUAUUUCCCUGGGAUUUGAAAAGAGCUGCAGAUGCCAUCG
This 1294-nucleotide long non-coding RNA is filed under the name Heterocephalus glaber (naked mole-rat). Its description in RNAcentral is "lncRNA (ENSHGLG00100037968.1)". The record is from RNAcentral. Lineage: Eukaryota; Metazoa; Chordata; Mammalia; Rodentia; Bathyergidae.